GAAUAGUUUAUUUAAAAUUUUAAUUUUGGAGAUUAAAGAAGGAAAGAUUUUUCUUUCUCUGA
Molecule: transfer RNA, 62 nt
Filed under: Xyletinus sp. XYL01
Lineage: Eukaryota; Metazoa; Arthropoda; Insecta; Coleoptera; Ptinidae
Description: tRNA-Pro
Source: RNAcentral